UACGUAGGGUGCAAGCGUUAAUCGGAAUUACUGGGCGUAAAGCGUGCGCAGGCGGUUAUGUAAGGCAGAUGUGAAAUGCCCGGGCUUAACCUGGGAACUGCAUUUGUGACUGCAUGGCUAGAGUUUGGCAGAGGGGGGUAGAAUUCCACGUGUAGCAGUGAAAUGCGUAGAUAUCCGGAGGAACACCGGUGGCGAAGGCGGCUUCCUGGACCGACACUGACGCUGAGGCGCGAAAGCUAGGGGAGCAAACGGG
This 253-nucleotide ribosomal RNA is filed under the name uncultured bacterium. Its description in RNAcentral is "partial 16S ribosomal RNA". It matches the Rfam family "Bacterial small subunit ribosomal RNA", at positions 524 to 776 of the family's 1533-position model. The record is from RNAcentral.